GAUGAACCGGACGAACGUUAUUCGGAAUCACUGGGCUUAAAGAGUACGUAGGCGGCCAGGUAGGUUGGGUGUGAAAUCCCGCAGCUCAACUGCGGAACUGCGCCCAAAACCACUUGGCUUGAGGGAAGCAGAGGUAAGCGGAACAGAUGGUGGAGCGGUGAAAUGCGUUGAUAUCAUCUGGAACACCAGUGGCGAAGGCGGCUUACUGGGCUUCUACUGACGCUGAGGUACGAAAGCUAGGGUAGCGAACGGG
Molecule: ribosomal RNA, 253 nt
Filed under: uncultured bacterium
Lineage: Bacteria
Description: partial 16S ribosomal RNA
Rfam family: Bacterial small subunit ribosomal RNA
Source: RNAcentral